CAGUAGCCACGGUAAUACGAAGGGGGCUAGCGUUGCUCGGAUUUACUGGGCGUAAAGGGCGCGUAGGCGGACAGUUUAGUCAGUGGUGAAAGCCCGGGGCUCAACCUCGGAAUUGCCUUUGAUACUGGCUGUCUUGAGUACGGGAGAGGUGUGUGGAACUCCGAGUGUAGAGGUGAAAUUCGUAGAUAUUCGGAAGAACACCAGUGGCGAAGGCGACACACUGGCCCGUUACUGACGCUGAGGCGCGAAAGCGUGGGGAGCAAACAGGAUUAGAUACCCCUGUAGUCCCUGUCUCUUAUAC
RNAcentral lists this ribosomal RNA (301 nucleotides) under uncultured bacterium. RNAcentral's name for it is "partial 16S ribosomal RNA". It matches the Rfam family "Bacterial small subunit ribosomal RNA", at positions 509 to 807 of the family's 1533-position model. The record is from RNAcentral.